CAGGGAAGCUGAGCACAAACAUAAAAUCGGUGCCAGUGGAAUAUUCCCUAAGGGCAAAGCCCUGUUUUAUCAUCUAAUCGCUAAUCUGAAGCUGUGUGAGUACAAAUGUGGCAACUGGAUAUACCUGUUUUUGUCAGCCUCUCUCCAGCCAGACUAAGUCAAGCCUUAGACUAAUUCAGUUACUCCGAGAUAAAUUCUGGCAGUAGCGGAACCUGAUACUCAUCAGAAAGACCACAGAGAAGACUGAAAGGAGGUCAUUCCUCUCAUCUCCUCAGCCUGCUGGUGCAGAUUUCCAACGUGCCCACAUUAUGGGAGUUUCUGUUUGUAUCCCACAGUAUGUUUGGCCUGAAGACCAUUGUGGAAAUAUGAGAUGACUUUUUAGACCUUUCUUCUAGCCUGAAGAAAGACGUUCUACUUAGGAUUAUCUUGCAAUCCAAUAAAUAAUAGCAGCUGGUCAGAAACCUGGUCUGUGAACACUGUUGGGAACACUGUUGUGUUUGUUUAAUUAUUUGUAAUAAUUUUAUUUUUGCAGGGAUAUGCUAAGUCUUUUCAAGUGCAAAAGGGAAAGAUGAAAAAAAGAAAAAAAAAAAAGAAAGUUUUGAUUUGAAAGGCCAAGUACAGAUCUUUGUGCUGACUUUCAUAUACUCUAGGACCUGCCCUUCUCUUUUUAUGCAUGAUCACAUACGCUCCAAACAUCUAAGAAGCUUCUGUUGGUGUUGGGGGUUAAAAUUCCUAGGAUUAGAAGCAGAGGUUUUGGAGUCAAGGGCCCCCACCUCUGGAAUUAGUUUUCCUUGGUUUCCUGCCAGUGUCCAUCCAGUAAGCUUCAGAACACAUGGGGAAAUGUUUAUAUUUGGGUUAGCUUCUCUCUAUUUUUAGAUGGUUUGGUUUUGCUUUGAAUUUUACUCUACAGAUGUGAAGAUGGUAGAUUGGCUAUUGUUAUUUUCUAAGAGAAUGAUUUAGCACUACCCAUUACGAGAAGGCUCCCGUGUCCUUUAUCAGUAAUCUUGUAAGAACAUGCUGCAGCCUGUGAAUGAAUAUUUGCAUUCUUACUUCCACAUCAUCAUUUUCCAACAUGUGCUACCGGGAUUACGUUGAGCCGAGCUGGAAAAGCUCCCAAGCCCAGAAUGUUGUACCCUGUGCGUGUUGUUGGCCCUGUUGUUUGGAGGGAACAGGACUGCAUGGACUGACAGGGGUUGGGUGAUUUGCUACCUACAUGUGCUCCUGCUUCGCACUGCAAGCAUCAUCUUUGUCAUACAGCAGGAUGUUUAAAUCUUUGUACCCCAAAAUGUGGACGAUCUUUAAAUGAUUAUAAAUAAAUGAUUGUAAGUAGUAUUUGGUUAUAAA
Long non-coding RNA from Gallus gallus (chicken), 1344 nucleotides. NCBI's taxonomy places the organism in Eukaryota, Metazoa, Chordata, Aves, Galliformes, Phasianidae. The record is from Ensembl.